Perognathus longimembris pacificus (Pacific pocket mouse) is the source of this 265-nucleotide long non-coding RNA. RefSeq lists it as uncharacterized. The transcript has 3 exons. The record is from RefSeq and is a predicted model, not a curated record. NCBI's taxonomy places the organism in Eukaryota, Metazoa, Chordata, Mammalia, Rodentia, Heteromyidae.
GGAGCUCAGGGAUAGAUAACAUAGAUAGCAUCCAGGCCCACAGUUCAAGCCCCAGGAACAGAAAAAAAAAAAGACAAAAGGACUAAGAGAUAGAAAACUUGACAAUUAUGUAAAAUCUCUGCUAAACACGAGAAGUAGUCUUUACAAUAAAUACUCUGAAAUUCUGCUCAUCUUUUUGUUAUUAAAAAAAAAAAGGGGCAUUUUUGCUGGGCAUUAGUGGUUCAUGCCUAUAAUCCUAGCUACUCAGGAGGCUGAGAUCUGAGGA